UAGGACUGAACAUUUGAGUUACCAAAGAACUUGAUAGUCGAAGGAUUUGGGAAAAUCCGCCAUAGAUGGUGAUAGCCCAGUAGAUUAAAUCAAAUUCUCUCAGUUCAGGAUCCUGAGUACGGCGGAACACGUGAAAUUCCGUCGGAAUCCGGGAGGACCAUCUCCCAAGGCUAAAUACUACCUAGUGACCGAUAGUGAACCAGUACCGUGAGGGAAAGGUGAAAAGCACCCCGGGAGGGGAGUGAAAUAGUUCCUGAAACCAUGUGCCUACAAUAAGUCAGAGCGCGUUAAUGCGUGAUGGCGUGCCUUUUGU
This 313-nucleotide ribosomal RNA is filed under the name Lactiplantibacillus plantarum. RNAcentral describes it as "partial 23S ribosomal RNA". It matches the Rfam family "Bacterial large subunit ribosomal RNA", at positions 296 to 611 of the family's 2925-position model. The record is from RNAcentral. Lineage: Bacteria; Bacillati; Bacillota; Bacilli; Lactobacillales; Lactobacillaceae.